ACAACGACUCUCGGCAACGGAUAUCUCGGCUCUCGCAUCGAUGAAGAACGUAGCGAAAUGCGAUACUUGGUGUGAAUUGCAGAAUCCCGUGAACCAUCGAGUCUUUGAACGCAAGUUGCGCCCGAAGCCAUUCGGCCGAGGGCACGCCUGCCUGGGUGUCACGCA
Molecule: ribosomal RNA, 165 nt
Filed under: Sonneratia caseolaris
Lineage: Eukaryota; Viridiplantae; Streptophyta; Magnoliopsida; Myrtales; Lythraceae
Description: 5.8S ribosomal RNA
Rfam family: 5.8S ribosomal RNA
About the family: 5.8S ribosomal RNA (5.8S rRNA) is a component of the large subunit of the eukaryotic ribosome. It is transcribed by RNA polymerase I as part of the 45S precursor that also contains 18S and 28S rRNA. Functionally, it is thought that 5.8S rRNA may be involved in ribosome translocation.
Source: RNAcentral